GUGUACUGAAAGAAUUUGAACAGGUUCCCAGCCAUCUGACAGAGGAGCUGCAUCUCUUCUCACUGGAUGAUCUGGUGAAGAUCAAACGAGGGCAGUUAUUGCCCCUUCUUAAAGAUAUUCUGAAGAGCUCUACCUCCCAUGUGGAUGGCUGCGAGCUCUGUCAAGCGAAGGGGUUUAUCUGUGAAUUCUGUCAGAGCGCAGAUCUGCUCUUUCCAUAUCAGAUUGCCAAAUGCAAAAGGUGCACAGAGUGCAAAACAUGCUUUCACAAAUCGUGCUUCAAGUCUGGAGGCUGCCCCAAAUGUCUGCGGAUUGCAGCUCGGAGGACGCUUUCAGAAACUCCAUCACUGGUGCCUCCGUGAAACUCGGUUCUGAUGACUGCUGAUUUUAGAAGAUGCUCAAAGCCAAAUCUUCAGUGUGUAUUGCAGCAAGAGAAGAUCCUCGAUGAGUCUGAGGAGCUGGCGGAAAGUGGAAGACCCAAGAGCAUCAGCACGCUUAUAAUCCAAGUAAAACUAGUUAAAAUGUUCUGCCGCUGAGGCUGAAGAAAGAAGGACCAAGUUGCGAGGUGCCAACAGGCUGGUCACAAGUUGGAAGGAAUAACAGAGGCUGCAAUUUACUGCGUUUGAGGGGGUGGUGCUGUCGACUGUUAGGUCUAGAGGAGGAUCAUACCAAAACCACAUCCUUGUGUGCUGGUGUCGGCACGAGAUACCGCAGGAACA
This 716-nucleotide long non-coding RNA is filed under the name Buteo japonicus. RNAcentral's name for it is "lncRNA (ENSBJAG00000011243.1)". Lineage: Eukaryota; Metazoa; Chordata; Aves; Accipitriformes; Accipitridae. The record is from RNAcentral.